GAUGAGGAUGAGGAUGACGAUGAUUCUGAAGAAGAUUCUAAUAAAACUGAGGACAUUGUCGACUCAUCAGGAGAUAGUUCAGAAGAAGAAAGGGAUGAUAGCUCUGAGGACGAGAGUACUCCAGAGAUGGUUGUAGUUGACAAGAGAAGGAAAUUUGAUUCUGCUUCAAAAUCUCCUAUUCGUGAAAAAAAGGCUAAAGUUGUGACUCCAGUUGAAAACAAUAAAAUAGGU
Dendrobium catenatum is the source of this 231-nucleotide RNA transcript. RefSeq lists it as uncharacterized. NCBI's taxonomy places the organism in Eukaryota, Viridiplantae, Streptophyta, Magnoliopsida, Asparagales, Orchidaceae. The transcript has 3 exons. The record is from RefSeq and is a predicted model, not a curated record.